RNAcentral lists this ribosomal RNA (388 nucleotides) under uncultured eukaryote. RNAcentral describes it as "SSU rRNA". It matches the Rfam family "Eukaryotic small subunit ribosomal RNA", at positions 567 to 963 of the family's 1831-position model. The record is from RNAcentral.
CCAGCAGCCGCGGUAAUUCCAGCUCCAAUAGCGUAUAUUAAAGUUGUUGCAGUUAAAAAGCUCGUAGUUGAAUUUCUGGAAAGUUCAUGCUGGCUGGUAUUGACCGGCCAUGUAUGUUCUUUCCAUUCUCGCGGGGAAGGCCUGGUUCUCGCAAGAGUCUAGUGUCCGGAACCGCGUCAUUUACUGUGAAAAAAUUAGAGUGUUUAAAGCAGGCGUUUUCGCUUGAAUACAUUAGCAUGGAAUAAUAAGAUAGGACUUCGGUCUAUUUUGUUGGUUGCGGCCCGAGGUAAUGAUUAAUAGGGAUAGUUGGGGGUAUUCAUAUUUAAUUGUCAGAGGUGAAAUUCUUGGAUUUAUUAAAGAUGAACGACUGCGAAAGCAUUUACCAAGG